This 379-nucleotide ribosomal RNA is filed under the name uncultured eukaryote. RNAcentral's name for it is "partial 18S ribosomal RNA". It matches the Rfam family "Eukaryotic small subunit ribosomal RNA", at positions 592 to 975 of the family's 1831-position model. The record is from RNAcentral.
CAAUAGCGUAUAUUAAAGUUGUUGCGGUUAAAAAGCUCGUAGUUGGAUUUCUGCCGAGGACGACCGGUCCGCCCUCCGGGUGAGUAUCUGGCUCGGCCUGGGCAUCUUCUUGGAGAACGUAACUGCACUUGGCUGUGUGGUGCGGUAUUCAGGACUUUUACUUUGAGGAAAUUAGAGUGUUUCAAGCAGGCACACGCCUUGAAUACAUUAGCAUGGAAUAAUAAGAUAGGACCUCGGUUCUAUUUUGUUGGUUUCUAGAGCUGAGGUAAUGAUUAAUAGGGAUAGUUGGGGGCAUUCGUAUUUAACUGUCAGAGGUGAAAUUCUUGGAUUUGUUAAAGACGGACUACUGCGAANGNAUUUGCNAAGGAUGUUUNCAUUG